GCCGGAGUGGCGGAACUGGCAGACGCACGGGAUUCAAAAUCCCGCGAUGGCAACAUCGUGUGGGUUCGACUCCCACCUCCGGCA
This 84-nucleotide transfer RNA is filed under the name Phycisphaerales bacterium. RNAcentral describes it as "tRNA-Leu". It matches the Rfam family "tRNA". From Rfam's summary of the family: Transfer RNA (tRNA) molecules are approximately 80 nucleotides in length. Their secondary structure includes four short double-helical elements and three loops (D, anti-codon, and T loops). Further hydrogen bonds mediate the characteristic L-shaped molecular structure. tRNAs have two regions of fundamental functional importance: the anti-codon, which is responsible for specific mRNA codon recognition, and the 3' end, to which the tRNAs corresponding amino acid is attached (by aminoacyl-tRNA synthetases). tRNAs cope with the degeneracy of the genetic code in two manners: having more than one tRNA (with a specific anti-codon) for a particular amino acid; and 'wobble' base-pairing, i.e. permitting non-standard base-pairing at the 3rd anti-codon position. Lineage: Bacteria; Pseudomonadati; Planctomycetota; Phycisphaerae; Phycisphaerales. The record is from RNAcentral.